RNAcentral lists this ribosomal RNA (1168 nucleotides) under uncultured Prevotella sp. RNAcentral's name for it is "bacterial SSU rRNA". It matches the Rfam family "Bacterial small subunit ribosomal RNA", at positions 329 to 1502 of the family's 1533-position model. Lineage: Bacteria; Pseudomonadati; Bacteroidota; Bacteroidia; Bacteroidales; Prevotellaceae. The record is from RNAcentral.
GCCCAGACUCCUACGGGAGGCAGCAGUGAGGAAUAUUGGUCGAUGGGCGAGAGCCUGAACCAGCCAAGUAGCGUGCAGGAUGACGGCCCUAUGGGUUGUAAACUGCUUUUAUAAGGGAAUAAAGUGAGUCUCGUGAGACUUUUUGCAUGUACCUUAUGAAUAAGGACCGGCUAAUUCCGUGCCAGCAGCCGCGGUAAUACGGAAGGUCCGGGCGUUAUCCGGAUUUAUUGGGUUUAAAGGGAGCGUAGGCCGGAGAUUAAGCGUGUUGUGAAAUGUAGACGCUCAACGUCUGCACUGCAGCGCGAACUGGUUUCCUUGAGUACGCACAAAGUGGGCGGAAUUCGUGGUGUAGCGGUGAAAUGCUUAGAUAUCACGAAGAACUCCGAUUGCGAAGGCAGCUCACUGGAGCGCAACUGACGCUGAAGCUCGAAAGUGCGGGGUAUCGAACAGGAUUAGAUACCCUGGUAGUCCGCACGGUAAACGAUGGAUGCCCGCUGUUGGUCUGAAAUAGGUCAGCGGCCAAGCGAAAAGCAUUAAGCAAUCCCACCUGGGGAGGUACGCCGGCAACGGUGAAACUCAAAGGAAUUGACGGGGGCCCGCACAAGCGGAGGAACAUGUGGUUUAAUUCGAUGAUACGCGAGGAACCUUACCCGGGCUUGAAUUGCAGAGGAAGGAUUUGGAGACAAUGACGCCCUUCGGGGCCUCUGUGAAGGUGCUGCAUGGUUGUCGUCAGCUCGUGCCGUGAGGUGUCGGCUUAAGUGCCAUAACGAGCGCAACCCCUCUCCUUAGUUGCCAUCAGUUGAAGCUGGGCACUCUGGGGACACUGCCACCGUAAGGUGUGAGGAAGGUGGGGAUGACGUCAAAUCAGCACGACCCUUACGUCCGGGGCUACACACGUGUUACAAUGGCAGGUACAGAGAGACGGUCCCUUGCAAAACGGAUCAAAUCCUUAAAGCCUGUCUCAGUUCGGACUGGGGUCUGCAACCCGACCCCACGAAGCUGGAUUCGCUAGUAAUCGCGCAUCAGCCAUGGCGCGGUGAAUACGUUCCCGGGCCUUGUACACACCGCCCGUCAAGCCAUGAAAGCCGGGGGCGCCUAAAGUCCGUGACCGUAAGGAGCGGCCUAGGGCGAAACUGGUAAUUGGGGCUAAGUCGUAACAAGGUAGCCG